AUUCCAGCUCCAAUAGCGUAUAUUAAAGUUGUUGCAGUUAAAAAGCUCGUAGUUGAACUUCGGAACCGGUCGAUUGGUCCGUCCUCUGGAUUGUGUACUGAUCGAUCUGUUCUUCUUCGCGAAGACCGCGUGUGCCCUUAACUGGGUGUGCACGGGAUUCACGACGUUUACUUUGAAAAAAUUAGAGUGUUCGAAGCAGGCAUUCGCUUGAAUAUCUCAGCAUGGAAUAAUAGAAUAGGACUUUGGUCUUAUUUUGUUGGUUUCCGAGACCGAAGUAAUGAUUAAUAGGGACAGUUGGGGGCAUUCGUAUUUCAUUGUCAGAGGUGAAAUUCUUGGAUUUAUGAAAGACGAACUUCUGCGAAAGCAUUUGCCAAGGGUGUUUUCAUUA
This 388-nucleotide ribosomal RNA is filed under the name Ctenophora sp. (in: diatoms). RNAcentral's name for it is "Ctenophora sp. (in: Bacillariophyta) partial small subunit ribosomal RNA". It matches the Rfam family "Eukaryotic small subunit ribosomal RNA", at positions 582 to 975 of the family's 1831-position model. The record is from RNAcentral. Lineage: Eukaryota; Bacillariophyta; Fragilariophyceae; Fragilariales; Fragilariaceae.